CGGAGGGUGCAAGCGUUAUCCGGAUUUACUGGGUUUAAAGGGUGCGUAGGUGGGCAGGAAAGUCAGUGGUGAAAUCUCCGGGCUUAACCCGGAAACUGCCAUUGAUACUAUUUGUCUUGAAUACUUUGGAGGUAAGCGGAAUAUGUCAUGUAGCGGUGAAAUGCUUAGAUAUGACAUAGAACACCAAUUGCGCAGGCAGCUUACUACACAGUAAUUGACACUGAGGCACGAAAGCGUGGGGAUCAAACAGGAUUAGAUACCCUGGUAGUCCACGCCCUAAACGAUGGAUACUCGACAUUAGCGAUAUACAGUUAGUGUCUGAGCGAAAGCAUUAAGUAUCCCACCUGGGAAGUACGAUCGCAAGAUUG
RNAcentral lists this ribosomal RNA (368 nucleotides) under uncultured organism. RNAcentral's name for it is "bacterial SSU rRNA". It matches the Rfam family "Bacterial small subunit ribosomal RNA", at positions 526 to 896 of the family's 1533-position model. The record is from RNAcentral.